This 440-nucleotide ribosomal RNA is filed under the name uncultured bacterium. Its description in RNAcentral is "partial 16S ribosomal RNA". It matches the Rfam family "Bacterial small subunit ribosomal RNA", at positions 338 to 795 of the family's 1533-position model. The record is from RNAcentral.
CCUACGGGGGGCAGCAGUAGGGAAUAUUGCUCAAUGGGGGAACCCCUGAAGCAGCAACGCCGCGUGGAGGAUGAAGGUUUUCGGAUUGUAAACCCCUUUUUUUAGAGAAGAUAAUGACGGUAUCUAACGAAUAACCACCGGCUAACUCCGUGCCAGCAGCCGCGGUCAUACGGGGGGGGCAAGCGUUACUCGGAAUCAUUGGGCGUAAAGAGGGCGUAGGCGGGAUAGCAAGUCAGAUGUGAAAUCCGAUGGCUUAACCAUAGAACUGCAGUUGAAACUGUUAUUCUAGAGUAGGGGAGAGGUAGGCGGAAUGCUUGGUGUAGGGGUAAAAUCCGUAGAGAUCAAGAGGAAUACUCAUUGCGAAGGCGGCCUGCUAGAACAUAACUGACGCUGAUGCACGAAAGCGUGGGGAGCAAACAGGAUUAGAUACCCGGGUAGUC